AGGACGAACGCUGGCGGCGUGCUUAACACAUGCAAGUCGAGCGGAAAGGCCCUUCGGGGUACUCGAGCGGCGAACGGGUGAGUAACACGUGAGCAAUCUGCCCUUAGCUUCGGGAUAGCCCCGGGAAACCGGGAUUAAUACCGAAUAUGACCUCGGCCGACAUCGGCUUUGGUGGAAAGUUUUUCGGCUAGGGAUGAACUCGCGGCCUAUCAGCUUGUUGGUGGGGUAAUGGCCUACCAAGGCAACGAUGGGUAGCUGGUCUGAGAGGACGACCAGCCACACUGGGACUGAGACACGGCCCAGACUCCUACGGGAGGCAGCAGUGAGGAAUUUUUCCGCAAUGGGCGAAAGCCUGACGGAGCGACGCCGCGUGCACGAGGAAGGUCUUCGGAUCGUAAAGUGCUGUCGAGGGGGACGAUUAUGACGGUACCCCUGGAGGAAGCCCCGGCUAACUACGUGCCAGCAGCCGC
Molecule: ribosomal RNA, 470 nt
Filed under: uncultured bacterium
Lineage: Bacteria
Description: SSU rRNA
Rfam family: Bacterial small subunit ribosomal RNA
Source: RNAcentral